UCCGGUGCCUCAAAACGUAGAGCGCGGAGGGGAUAAUAGGGAAACAGGUGAGAAUCCUGUACGAUCUCGUCACUGUCAUAGGCGAGUGUGCGGCAUAGCAAUCAUCGCAGUCACUGAUGCUCCAUCGGGAAGACUGCCGCACGCGCAAAACCUUAAGUCAGGAAACCUGCCGGGUAUGGU
This 180-nucleotide non-coding RNA is filed under the name bovine gut metagenome. The record is from RNAcentral.